GAUGAACGCUGGCGGCAUGCCUAACACAUGCAAGUCGAUCGGUAAGGCUCUUCGGAGUACACGAGAGGCGGACGGCUGAGUAACGCGUAGGAACACACCCUGCAGUGAGGGAUAAGACACCGAAAGGUGUUCUAAUACCGCAUACGGUCUUCGGAUUAAAGCAUUUAUGCGCUGAAGGAGUGGCCUGCGUCAUAUUAGAUAGUUGGUGAGGUAAUGGCUCACCAAGUCGAUGAUGUGUAGCUGGUCUGAGAGGAUGAUCAGCCAGACUGGAACUGAGACACGGUCCAGACUCCUACGGGAGGCAGCAGUGAGGAAUAUUUCACAAUGAGCGAAAGCUUGAUGGAGCAAUGCCGCGUGCAGGAUGAAGGCCCUCGGGUUGUAAACUGCUUUUAUAAGAGAAGAUUAUGACGGUAACUUAUGAAUAAGGGACGGCUAACUACGU
This 442-nucleotide ribosomal RNA is filed under the name uncultured bacterium. RNAcentral describes it as "partial 16S ribosomal RNA". It matches the Rfam family "Bacterial small subunit ribosomal RNA", at positions 28 to 506 of the family's 1533-position model. The record is from RNAcentral.